CCCAGGUUGCAACAUGUUCGACGUAUACUUCCUUUCCGAUGAAAAGCAGCAAGUAAACAAAGCUUCUAGUUCUGCAAAGAGAGAAAGAAGGAAGAGAUUUUCUUGCUGGCAUACCUUAGAAAGAAAAAAAAUGUCAGCGGUAGAGUUAUAUUAGCGAGAAGCAAGAAUCGAUUCUGCCGUGAAGUCCUGUUGUGUUUGGCGUGUGUGCGUGUACAACGAAGAAGGAAGUAACGAAAGGGGAAUCCCCUUAUCUUCCUCGUCUACUAACGUAACCCUCCCUUAAAAAAAAAAUCAGAUACUACAAUAGAAACUAGAUUACUUUCAAGUGCACAAAGACUUGAUGCAGAUGUUUUUGUUUGUAAGCGUAGUGGUCUGUGUUCAAGAGAAGGUUUAACGAGAACAGAAUAUCGUUGUCAUCGUCUCAACACUCGACACUGAUGACGUUCGCCGUCACGACAAUGGAAGUAAUGAACUCUUUAUGUGAGGGUGUACAAUUUCUUUUCGGACACAAACUGGAUGGAUUUUAAUGUUUAGUGGUAGUACACUGAUUAUAUCUCUGACGUCGUAUUGGAUGUAAGGCAGAAACAGCAUCAGGAUCAACCACACCGAACGACUGCACUGAAUCGACCAUCUUCGCAACGGUGACGUUUCACGACAGAACCCACCAUAACCAGUGAUUCGUUUUAUGUCAGUGAUGAUUUACGAAAGUCAUUUUCAAAAUGGCCGUCAAACCUAUGGAAUAUUUUUUAUUCGAUUUUUUUCAGUUCAAGGAGUGAACAUAUUUUUUCAUAGAAACUCGCGUUGGUCGACUUCUGCUUCUAGUUUUUAAAUUAACCCUAAAAAUCAAAAAUCGGAAAUGAAACGGGUUCGUGCUCUGCAUCACGUUCUCCCAAAGGUUCCACUGUCUUUCGUUCGUUCUUGGAAUAUUCAUGAAACGUUCUGGAACCCUUUCAUCGAGUGCUCUUUUUCCGGGAACAGACUGCUAUGAUUGUCAUGGAAGAUAUUUUCUUAUCCAGCAACAGAGCAGCUAAAUACUUACACCACAGUAUUCAGAAUUCAGGUUUUAUUGUGACCAUUGAUUUGAUUAGCUGCUAAAGAAAAAAAUAACAAGUUGUGAGGAAGUACUCAAGUCUUUUCCCCCAUUAUGAAAGAGGCUUGGAAAGACACAGCUCAGCAGGUUUCAGAGUUCUUGAAAGAAGGGAAGUAAUAGAGAGUCCUGUAGAACUCCAUUCUACUACUGUGGUAGCUUUAUGAUCCUGUGGACAAGAUUCAUUUGCAUGGUUGUGAAUGUCAGCCACCAUGGCGGAACUGCCAAGCAUCAACUGUUCAAGCAUCAGCAGCACUUAUGAGUCCUCUUCAGGCAGUGAUGGCAGCUAUCCUUCACGGCGCAAUAAAGUAGAAGGUUAUGACUAUGAGUUUGUGCCCACUCCUGAUGCUCGGUAUGAGUGUACUAUCUGCCUGCUGGUGCUACGAGAACCAAGGCAGACUCCUUGUGGACACCGUUUCUGCCGUGACUGCAUCAUUAAGUGGAUCAGAGAAUCUCAGCAGCGGUGUCCAGUGGAUAAUGAACCAUUUGAGGAGAAGGAUUUGUUUGCUGACAACUUUGCCAAACGAGAAAUCCAGAAUUUCAAUGUUAAGUGUCCUAACAGCAAGCAGGGAUGCGAUACAAUCACCUCAGUGAAACAGCUUCAGGCCCAUCAGAGAGAAUGUCCCUUUGGUUUGGCUCCUUGCCCAAAUCGAUGUAGCAACGUGCUGUUCAAACGAGAUCUUGCUGAGCAUGUUCAGCAUUUGUGUGAACUGCGGAACGUUCAGUGUCCGAACUGCGGUGCCACUUUCCUCAGCAGGGAUGCUUGGACGCAUGUUGAGGUGUGUCCAAAAAGGCAGGUGAAAUGCCACUUCUGUGAGGAAGAGAUGGAGAUGCAAGCGAUGGCAGAACAUGAGGCCACAGUGUGCCCCAGAAAGACGCUGCAUUGUGCUUUUCACACUUUGGGCUGUAAUGCUGAGAUGGAACGGUGCAACGAGAAGACCCACCUACAAGACAACCUGCAGGAACACAUGCUGCUACUGUGCAAUGGACUGACAACCAUCAUGCAUGUGCUAGGCAUUCAACGUCUCUCACCUGAAAGCAGCACCAGCACCACCCGUGGUCUUGUGCCCACUGAGACCUCGGGACUCUUGUCUGGCUUGGCUCUGUCGCUGCAGCAACUCUCUUUAGGGAAACUGCCCAGAAUGAGUUUGGACAGUCAGACACUGAAACAACAGCUACCUCGUUUACCUGUACCUGGAUCCAGUUUUGUUGACUCUCAUGCUCAAACUCAUGAAGAAUCAGCAGGACCCAUUUCUUUUUAUCGAAGCCCAUCGGACCCUAAAAAUUCUCUCAUGGGAAGUGCCGUGUCGAUUGGCACACAGGAGGCUUCAGUACUCAGUCACACAUCUGGACAUUCAAACUCUAGUGGUGUAGGUGGCUUCCAGAGCUUGCCGUCAGCUUCCAGCGAAGACUUCGAGUCACUGAAAGCUCGAAACGUCACCCAAGAUGCAAGCUUGGCCAUGCAUGACCAGUGUUUGAUUGAGCUACAGGCAAAGGCGAAACGUUGUGACCAGCUGAAUCAGGAGCUCAAGCAAAAGGUCAAGCAACUCGAGGCACAGAUCAGCGACUUUGAAAGCAGAGUGUGUAGCGGUCAAUUUUUCUGGCGGAUCAGGAAUUAUUCCAAGCUCCUGCGAGAUGCAGAGCAUGGGGCAAUGACAGCCCUUCACAGUCAACCGUUUUACACCUCAGCCUCUAUGGGAUACAAAAUCUGCAUCCGAGCCAACCUCAAUGGGGUGGAUUCAGCAAAAGGGAGUCACUUGUCUUUAUUCGUCCAUUUCAUGCAGGGGGAAUAUGAUGACCUUCUGGACUGGCCAUUCUCAGGCAAAAUUAUUCUUUCUGUCAUCGAUCAGAAUGAACGCUGUGAAAUGAGGCACCAUGUGUCUGAGACCCUUGUUGCAAAACCAAACCUGGCUGCAUUUCAAAAGCCUUCAACUCCAAGAAACCAUAAAGGUUUUGGCUAUAUGGAGUUUCUUCCCUUGAGUUCUGUGAAAGGUUCCUCAUUCAUACGAAAUGACACGCUUAUUAUCAAGGCCCAAGUACUUCCCAACUGCUGAAUAUGUUUCGACAAUGAAUGUAACAAAGAAAGGUAUAGAUCCCACUUGAAUGAAGUAGGAAGAUGACUUUGGAUUGAGCUAGAAGAUUACCUCAAUCGGCAUGGAUACCUUGUGAUUUCCUUGACAUCUUCAACUUGGCAGAAUGUAUCUUAACAACAUGGACAGUUUUCAUGCUGAUGUAAAGCUCUUCAGUGGGGUUGCAUUUGCUGCACUCGGGGAAAGUAGCAAGUUUUCAUGAUAUAAAGGAAUAAAGCUUGCACUGUCUUAUUUGUGUACACAUUAAAUGAGAAAUAUCUUAGCAUUUGUACGAUAACCACUGGUUUGGAGGAAAUUUUUUUUUUCUUGAUGUGCUUCAACUCUAGGGAGUUUGAGUUGGUGGAUGAAAUAUCCUGGAAGUGCAAAUGGUAAUAAUAAAUGCAAAAUUUGUA
RNAcentral lists this unclassified non-coding RNA (3569 nucleotides) under Pomacea canaliculata. RNAcentral describes it as "tNF receptor-associated factor 6-like, transcript variant X3". The record is from RNAcentral. Lineage: Eukaryota; Metazoa; Mollusca; Gastropoda; Architaenioglossa; Ampullariidae.